This 465-nucleotide ribosomal RNA is filed under the name Vreelandella stevensii. RNAcentral's name for it is "partial 16S ribosomal RNA". It matches the Rfam family "Bacterial small subunit ribosomal RNA", at positions 338 to 795 of the family's 1533-position model. The record is from RNAcentral. Lineage: Bacteria; Pseudomonadati; Pseudomonadota; Gammaproteobacteria; Oceanospirillales; Halomonadaceae.
CCUACGGGGGGCAGCAGUGGGGAAUAUUGGACAAUGGGCGAAAGCCUGAUCCAGCCAUGCCGCGUGUGUGAAGAAGGCCUUCGGGUUGUAAAGCACUUUCAGUGGGGAAGAAAGCCUUGGGGCUAAUACCCUCGAGGAAGGACAUCACCCACAGAAGAAGCACCGGCUAACUCCGUGCCAGCAGCCGCGGUAAUACGGAGGGUGCGAGCGUUAAUCGGAAUUACUGGGCGUGAAGCGCGCGUAGGCGGUCUGAUAAGCCGGUUGUGAAAGCCCCGGGCUCAACCUGGGAACGGCAUCCGGAACUGUCAGGCUAGAGUGCAGGAGAGGAAGGUAGAAUUCCCGGUGUAGCGGUGAAAUGCGUAGAGAUCGGGAGGAAUACCAGUGGCGAAGGCGGCCUUCUGGACUGACACUGACGCUGAGGUGCGAAAGCGUGGGUAGCAAACAGGAUUAGAUACCCGAGUAGUC